This is a long non-coding RNA of Mesocricetus auratus (golden hamster), 3760 nucleotides long. RefSeq lists it as uncharacterized. NCBI's taxonomy places the organism in Eukaryota, Metazoa, Chordata, Mammalia, Rodentia, Cricetidae. The record is from RefSeq and is a predicted model, not a curated record. The transcript has 3 exons.
UCAGCAGACGCCUGGCACACAGUAGGCCCUCAACAAGAAGAUAAAGGAAGAGUGUGCCGAGCAAGCAGAUGACAGCAUGGUGUGAGGAAACACAGGCUUCAUCUGCGGCUGACUUUACAGAGCAUUGUUCUACCAAAAGCCUGCCAGUUCCAUCGUUAAUCACGCGCUUUGAGGAGGUCUUUCUGAGUCAUGCUUGGCAACACAGAUCCAUGAUCUGUCUGUCCUUGAGCCCGAUUCAGCAACAGGACUCGGCUUGGCUUUGGUUUGAUUCUGGAGAAGAGGAGCCGGAGUUCUGAAAGAAACUGUAGAUUUAGAAUUUGCCUUUUAACAACGGCAAGAAGGAGCUGACAUACCGUCCCGAGGAAAGGCAAAUGCUUGGCUCGUGUCAAGCUCCCAGAUUUCUCACAGCUGAGGUGGAGAGGGAGCCUGGCUGCAGCUUGUGGUUUGUAGUGCGUGUGCUCCUGGGGUGCCAGGGGAGCCUGGGCUGGACUGAGUGGGUGAACCUGAGACCUUGGUGACCUGCCGUAGAGAGACUCUGCCCCUUAGCUAACUUUCAUCUCUUGCUACAUCUGUGACUGUUUCCCCAAGACUCCUGAAGCCCUCAGUGAAAAUGAGACCUUGUCUGAUCUGGAAAUAUUUUUGCCGGCCUUUGAUGGCCAGUUUAACUGUCAUCUGCUCCUAAGAGGGGGAGCCUGCGCUCUCAGAUGCUCCCUAGGGCCCUAUUUCAACCCAAAUGCCUUGGCUUAGAGCUACUGUCUCCCCUAGCAACCCUGCUAGAUUCACCUCCUGGGGCGGUCACCCCCAGACUGGCUCAGCCUGGUCUACCCACAGCCCACAGGUAAGUGGACUUCCCCAGUCCAUUCUCGUUACCUUCUCACAGCUUGCUGUAGAGACCUCAUGGGUGACCGACAACCUGGACAGUGGACAUCAACAUGGCUAUGAGUUGGUUGGGGAUAGUGUAUGCUUUUUUGUCCAUGUAAUGUAAACAUGUGUGAGCCAGAAAUAUGUAGGGUUUUCUUCCUUCCGCACUUGGGCAUUGAGGAGUCAGGACUCAAGCUUCCUGCUGGGGAACCACACCGUGAAAGUGUCCCCUGGUACAUGCCUGGCCCAUUAUGUUAUCACCCAUGAUGAGAGGGAGCAGUCCCUGACAGUGUAGGACACAGCUCCUGGGGGCUCAUCGGAGGGAGCCCAGGGGAAGUGCCUGGUUUGAGCUGGAACCUUGGCUUCUCCUCUUCUUUCUGUGCUGCUGGGAGGGGUACCCUAAAGUGUUUGGCGAUGAGGUAAUGGUCAAGAAGCUGUGGGCACCACGAUGCCUGGCCAGACACCAUGGGUGGAGCAGAGCCCGGACUGGCUCAGCUGCGAUUCCCAGAGUCUGGUUCCCUGAAGGAAAAAGGCUUCACUUCAGAGACACUGGCACUCUCCUGAUGACUCCAAGAGGAGUCCUGGAUCUCCGCUUUCUGCAGAAGCUAGUGCCAGGGAGGCCUCAGACAGACAGCUCUGAAGGGCCCACCCUGCCUCUGCAAUGUGCCCUCAUGGCAUUCUCUCUAAGCAGCAGUGGGUGGGGCAGGGGCAUACACUUCAUACCUAUCCAUCCUCUCCCAUUCCAUCCUCUCCCAUUCCAGGCUCCUGCAACCCGGGGCAGGUCAACAGGGGCGGCUGCAUGCCUACCCUCUAUGGUAGGAAUUUUGAAGUCUUUGUUUAGAUUUCACUGCACUUCUUGCUAGUAGAAGUCUGGGGUACUUUCUUUCAAAGAACAUCUUGGAAGAGAUGGUUCUCUGGCAGGGAGAUGAAUUCCAUCUUUUCCAGCUAUGUCUUUGCCCUAACUCUUAAACCUGGCAUCCUGGAGUCCCGUUAUAUCAUGGUCCCAUUGCUUAGUGGCUAACCAGGCUUGGAAUAACCCACUGAGAUCAUUUGCAAGUCAGAUGCUUUUUGGAGGUGCAACUCAAUUAAUUGCGAGUCAGUAUGUCUGAUAGGUCUGGUGUUUGAAGCUCACCGAGUCAGCAAAAGUCUGCAAAAUCUAAGAGGCGAGGAAGGUUGGUGACAGCGGGUCCUUCUGAAGUGGCUGCGUUGACCACAGCUUGGCAUGUGUCUGUCCAUUCACAGUGCCCCUAGGACCUUCCUUUAGCACGCACACAGUCUGCUCUCCUGGGUACUGCAGAUACGGACAGCAUCACCAGGAGCACAUGGGGAGUUGAGGGCACCCCUCUGAAUGCUAGUAGCAAUGACAGUUCCUCUGCUGAUGCCUGCUUUGUCUUUUGCUCAGGAGAAUUGACAGAGAAAAGGAAAAUGGCGGGUGUGGCUCUUGAGCCGUGGGCUGAGAUGCCAUCUAGAGUUGGUGAGCAUGGUGCUGGGAAAUGUUAGGGCUUACUUACAACCUCUUGCCUAGCUUGGCUGACUUAGGCACCCACAGAUGCUAGUGAGCAUGCCCAGAACCUCCUAACACUGCUUCAAGGAGCACAGGACCCUCCUACCCCCAGGGGAUUCUGCUUGCCCUUGAACCUCCUGCCGUCAGUGAGGAGAGCGUCCAGGUCAUUCUGAGCAACUCCAGUGGAGUGUUCAGCAUGGACAAGAGGAAGCCAGCCAGCCAGCCUCUCAGGACAGUGAGCAGGUGCAGCCUCACAGGACCAUGCAGCAGGUGUACACUGUGACGCAGGACCAAAGGGUUUCAGGAGGGGACACUUUUCUCUGUGCUGGUUUGACCAGAUGUGUCUAAUAAAACAGAUUGUAAGUUGAUUUUAUACAUUUGGUUUUCAUCACAACAGAAUUCACCUUGUAGGUAUUUAUUAGAUUUUUUUUGUCGCUUUAUAAUAGAAAUAUGAAGAGGACCUUAAAUAGACCUUAAAAUUUAUUAUGUUGUCUUGCCACUAACAAGAAUCCUUUUUAUUUGUAGGAUUCUUGUUUAUCACAGAUGUAGAAAUUCACCUAAUGCGCAUUUGUGUCCAUUGGAAAGGAAAACACGGCAGUUUGUAAGGCUGAAGGCUUUGGAGGCAGCAUGAGGAUUUGAGGACCGUCUAAACUCAGGGAAUUCGGACUUGGAGCUUUGCCCUAAUCAGCUCAGUGUCCUUGUUGGGUUGCUUCCUCAGGGUUUUUCUGAGAUCCACGUCUUCUCUGAGGCUGAUGCUUUCAGAUGCUCACCGGGGAGCGACACUGAGCAUGAGGAUGGUGAGGAAUGGGGACACAGGAAGCACAGUGUCACCCUUACAUUCGUGGACAGGUCCUGGUGGCAGGGCUACAGAAACGAAAGGCACAGGCGAGGUCAGCCGAUCUCUCAGUAACCAACAUGGCAAGCAGGCAACAUUUAAACAAGACUGAAAAAUGCCCAGAAAGAUGCUUAAGCCUGGCAGGAGAGAUGCCCUCACAGACAUACUAAGAGACAGAGAACACAUCUGCAAUGGUCAAGCUGGACAUCGCUCAGCUUUACCACACACAGGGCGCUGAAGCACGCGCCAACAAUGUCAAAGGAUUUGAUGACAGAAGAUCUAAUGUGACCAAGUUCAAAAACAGAGGGUGACUCCAUAGUCACCGUGUCUUUAACAAUUACGACGAGGGAGAGACAGUUUCAUUAAGGGUGUGUCCCUUGGUGUGUCAACCAUGCUACAGUAGCUAGCUCCAUACCUGGGAGUACAUGGACAACACAAUUAAACUCACCGUGGUAUUAAAAAACAAACAAACAAGCCAUGAAAUUGAGGAGAGCGGGGAAGUGGGGUAGAUUUUGGAGCGGUUGGAGAAGGAAUGGGGGUUGAGUAUGACAAAAACACAU